RNAcentral lists this ribosomal RNA (408 nucleotides) under gamma proteobacterium enrichment culture clone LiUU-17-342. RNAcentral's name for it is "bacterial SSU rRNA". It matches the Rfam family "Bacterial small subunit ribosomal RNA", at positions 509 to 916 of the family's 1533-position model. The record is from RNAcentral. Lineage: Bacteria; Pseudomonadati; Pseudomonadota; Gammaproteobacteria. RNAcentral also lists the same sequence under 1 other name.
CAGCCGCCGCGGUAAUACGGAGGGUGCAAGCGUUAAUCGGAAUUACUGGGCGUAAAGCGCACGCAGGCGGUUUGUUAAGUCAGAUGUGAAAUCCCCGGGCUCAACCUGGGAACUGCAUCUGAUACUGGCAAGCUUGAGUCUCGUAGAGGGGGGUAGAAUUCCAGGUGUAGCGGUGAAAUGCGUAGAGAUCUGGAGGAAUACCGGUGGCGAAGGCGGCCCCCUGGACGAAGACUGACGCUCAGGUGCGAAAGCGUGGGGAGCAAACAGGAUUAGAUACCCUGGUAGUCCACGCCGUAAACGAUGUCGACUUGGAGGUUGUGCCCUUGAGGCGUGGCUUCCGGAGCUAACGCGUUAAGUCGACCGCCUAGGGAGUACGGCCGCCAGGUUAAAACUCAAAUGAAUUGACGG